RNAcentral lists this ribosomal RNA (247 nucleotides) under uncultured bacterium. RNAcentral's name for it is "partial small subunit ribosomal RNA". It matches the Rfam family "Bacterial small subunit ribosomal RNA", at positions 26 to 286 of the family's 1533-position model. The record is from RNAcentral.
AGGACGAACGCUGGCGGCGUGCUUAACACAUGCAAGUCGAACGAGGUGCUUGCACCUAGUGGCGAACGGGUGAGUAACACGUGAGCAACCUGCCCUUGGCUCUGGGAUAGCCUCCGGAAACGGGGAUUAAUACCGGACAUGACCUUCUUCCGCAUGGUGGAGGGUGGAAAGUUUUUCGGCCAGGGAGGGGCUCGCGGCCUAUCAGCUUGUUGGAGGGGUAACGGCCCACCAAGGCGACGACGGGUAG